This 71-nucleotide transfer RNA is filed under the name Loxodonta africana (African savanna elephant). It matches the Rfam family "tRNA". From Rfam's summary of the family: Transfer RNA (tRNA) molecules are approximately 80 nucleotides in length. Their secondary structure includes four short double-helical elements and three loops (D, anti-codon, and T loops). The record is from Rfam by way of RNAcentral. Lineage: Eukaryota; Metazoa; Chordata; Mammalia; Proboscidea; Elephantidae.
GCUUUGGUGGCUCAGUGGUAGAGUUCUUACCUUCCAUGUGGGAGACCUGGGUUUCACUCCCAGCCAACACA